GGAGAGAUGGCUGAGCUGGUCUAAGGCGCACGACUGGAAAUCGUGUAACGGCUAAUACCCGUUCAAGGGUUCGAAUCCCUUUCUCUCCGCCA
This 92-nucleotide transfer RNA is filed under the name Bacillota bacterium. RNAcentral's name for it is "Firmicutes bacterium (gut metagenome) tRNA-Ser". It matches the Rfam family "tRNA". Rfam says of the family: Transfer RNA (tRNA) molecules are approximately 80 nucleotides in length. Lineage: Bacteria; Bacillati; Bacillota. The record is from RNAcentral. RNAcentral also lists the same sequence under 2 other names.